Molecule: transfer RNA, 61 nt
Filed under: Camelus bactrianus (Bactrian camel)
Lineage: Eukaryota; Metazoa; Chordata; Mammalia; Artiodactyla; Camelidae
Also listed under: 1 other name
Rfam family: tRNA
About the family: Transfer RNA (tRNA) molecules are approximately 80 nucleotides in length. Their secondary structure includes four short double-helical elements and three loops (D, anti-codon, and T loops).
Source: Rfam by way of RNAcentral
UAUAGCUUAGUGGCAGAGCACAUGCUUAGCAUGCAUAAGGCCCUGGGUUCAAUCCACAGUA